RNAcentral lists this signal recognition particle RNA (313 nucleotides) under Pongo abelii (Sumatran orangutan). RNAcentral's name for it is "Metazoan signal recognition particle RNA (ENSPPYG00000038012.1)". It matches the Rfam family "Metazoan signal recognition particle RNA". Rfam says of the family: The signal recognition particle (SRP) is a universally conserved ribonucleoprotein. It is involved in the co-translational targeting of proteins to membranes. The record is from Rfam by way of RNAcentral. Lineage: Eukaryota; Metazoa; Chordata; Mammalia; Primates; Hominidae.
GCCAGGUGUGGUGGCGGGCGCCUGUAGUCCCAGCUACUUGGGAGGCUGAGGCAGGAGAAUGGCAUGAACCCGGGAGGCAGAGCUUGCAGUGAGCCGAGAUCGCGCCACUGCACUCCAGCCUGGGCGACAGUGUGAGGCUCCAUGUCAAAAAAAAAAAAGAGAGAGAGAGAUUAGAAUGGUCAAAUGACUUCUUUUUACAUUUUUUUUUUUUUGACACUGAGUUUCACUCUGUUGCCCAGGCUGGAGUGCAGUGGCAUGAUCUCGGCUCACUGCAACCUCUGCCUCCCGGGUUCAAGCAAUUCUCCUGCCUCAG